Molecule: ribosomal RNA, 472 nt
Filed under: uncultured bacterium
Lineage: Bacteria
Description: bacterial SSU rRNA
Rfam family: Bacterial small subunit ribosomal RNA
Source: RNAcentral
UGGGGAAUUUUGGACAAUGGGCGCAAGCCUGAUCCAGCAAUGCCGCGUGAGUGAAGAAGGCCUUCGGGUUGUAAAGCUCUUUCAGUCGAGAAGAAAAGGUUGUGACCAAUAAUCACAACUCAUGACGGUAUCGACAGAAGAAGCACCGGCUAACUACGUGCCAGCAGCCGCGGUAAUACGUAGGGUGCGAGCGUUAAUCGGAAUUACUGGGCGUAAAGGGUGCGCAGGCGGUUUUGUAAGUCAGAUGUGAAAUCCCCGGGCUUAACCUGGGAACUGCGUUUGAAACUACAAGACUAGAGUGUGGCAGAGGGGGGUGGAAUUCCAUGUGUAGCAGUGAAAUGCGUAGAGAUAUGGAAGAACAUCGAUGGCGAAGGCAGCCCCCUGGGUUAACACUGACGCUCAUGCACGAAAGCGUGGGGAGCAAACAGGAUUAGAUACCCCUGUAGUCCCUGAGCGGGCUGGCAAGGCGCAU